This 484-nucleotide ribosomal RNA is filed under the name uncultured bacterium. Its description in RNAcentral is "SSU rRNA". It matches the Rfam family "Bacterial small subunit ribosomal RNA", at positions 26 to 519 of the family's 1533-position model. The record is from RNAcentral.
AGGACGAACGCUGGCGGCGUGCCUAACACAUGCAAGUCGAACGCGCUCCAUUCGGUAGCAAUACUGAUGAAGAGCGAGUGGCGAACGGGUGAGUAGCACGUGAGCAACCUGCCCCGAAGACCGGGACAACACCGGGAAACCGGUGCUAAUACCGGAUAUCCCUAUCGGACCGCAUGAUCUGAUAAGGAAAUGGAUUCCGCUUCGGGAGGGGCUCGCGGCCUAUCAGCUAGUUGGUGAGGUAACGGCCCACCAAGGCAUCGACGGGUAGCUGGUCUGAGAGGACGAUCAGCCACACUGGGACUGAGACACGGCCCAGACUCCUACGGGAGGCAGCAGUGGGGAAUCUUGCGCAAUGGGCGAAAGCCUGACGCAGCAACGCCGCGUGGAGGACGAAGGCUUUCUGAGUUGUAAACUCCUUUCAGCAGGGACGAUAGUGACGGUACCUGCAGAAGAAGCACCGGCCAACUACGUGCCAGCAGCCGUA